RNAcentral lists this ribosomal RNA (253 nucleotides) under uncultured bacterium. RNAcentral's name for it is "partial 16S ribosomal RNA". It matches the Rfam family "Bacterial small subunit ribosomal RNA", at positions 524 to 776 of the family's 1533-position model. The record is from RNAcentral.
UACGUAGGGUGCGAGCGUUAAUCGGAAUUACUGGGCGUAAAGCGUGCGCAGGCGGUUCGUGAUGUCUGAUGUGAAAGCCCCGGGCUCAACCUGGGAAUGGCAUUGGAAACUAGCGGGCUGGAGUGUGGCAGAGGGGGGUGGAAUUCCAUGUGUAGCAGUGAAAUGCGUAGAGAUGUGGAGGAAUACCGAUGGCGAAGGCAGCCCCCUGGGAUAACACUGACGCUCAUGCACGAAAGCGUGGGGAGCAAACAGG